This 377-nucleotide ribosomal RNA is filed under the name uncultured bacterium. RNAcentral describes it as "bacterial SSU rRNA". It matches the Rfam family "Bacterial small subunit ribosomal RNA", at positions 521 to 896 of the family's 1533-position model. The record is from RNAcentral.
UAAUACGGAGGGGGCCAGCGUUGUUCGGAAUUAUUGGGCGUAAAGGGCGCGUAGGCGGCCUGGCAAGUCGGUUGUGAAAGCCCUCGGCUCAACCGAGGAAUUGCGACCGAAACUGCCGGGCUUGAGUCCCGGAGAGGGUAGCGGAAUUCCCAGUGUAGCGGUGAAAUGCGUAGAUAUUGGGAGGAACACCAGUGGCGAAGGCGGCUACCUGGACGGGUACUGACGCUGAGGCGCGAAAGCGUGGGGAGCAAACAGGAUUAGAUACCCUGGUAGUCCACGCCGUAAACGAUGGGCACUUGGUGUUGCGGGUAUCGACCCCUGCAGUGCCGAAGCUAACGCAUUAAGUGCCCCGCCUGGGGAGUACGGUCGCAAGGCUG